UGGGGAAUCUUGGACAAUGGGCGCAAGCCUGAUCCAGCCAUGCCGCGUGGAUGAUGAAGGCCUUAGGGUUGUAAAAUCCUUUCGUUGGGGACGAUAAUGACGGUACCCAAAGAAGAAGCUCCGGCUAACUUCGUGCCAGCAGCCGCGGUAAUACGAAGGGGGCUAGCGUUGUUCGGAUUUACUGGGCGUAAAGCGCGUGUAGGCGGACUUGUAAGUUGGGGGUGAAAUCCCGAGGCUCAACCUCGGAACUGCCUCCAAAACUACAAAUCUGGACCUAAGUAGAGGCAAGUGGAAUUGCGAGUGUAGAGGUGAAAUUCGUAGAUAUUCGCAGGAACACCAGUGGCGAAGGCGAACUUGCUGGACUUAUGGUGACGCUGAGACGCGAAAGCGUGGGGAGCAAACAGGAUUAAAUACCCGUGUAGUCCCUGAGCGGGCUGGCAAGGCGCAU
Molecule: ribosomal RNA, 448 nt
Filed under: uncultured bacterium
Lineage: Bacteria
Description: bacterial SSU rRNA
Rfam family: Bacterial small subunit ribosomal RNA
Source: RNAcentral